This 398-nucleotide ribosomal RNA is filed under the name uncultured bacterium. RNAcentral's name for it is "bacterial SSU rRNA". It matches the Rfam family "Bacterial small subunit ribosomal RNA", at positions 29 to 428 of the family's 1533-position model. The record is from RNAcentral.
AUUGAACGCUGGCGGCGUGCUUAACACAUGCAAGUCGAUCGGUAACAGGUGUAGCAAUACAUGCUGACGAGAGGCGGACGGGUGAGUAAUGCUUGGGAAUCUGCCUAUUAGUGGGGGACAACCCGGGGAAACUCGGGCUAAUACCGCAUACGCUCUACGGAGGAAAGCCGGGGACCGCAAGGCCUGGCGCUAAUAGAUGAGCCCAAGUCGGAUUAGCUAGUUGGUAGGGUAACGGCCUACCAAGGCGACAAUCCGUAGCUGGUCUGAGAGGACGACCAGCCACACCGGAACUGAGACACGGUCCGGACUCCUACGGGAGGCAGCAGUGGGGAAUAUUGGACAAUGGGGGCAACCCUGAUCCAGCGACGCCGCGUGAGGGAUGACGGCCUCGGUUGUAA